RNAcentral lists this ribosomal RNA (363 nucleotides) under Triticum aestivum (bread wheat). RNAcentral describes it as "partial small subunit ribosomal RNA". Lineage: Eukaryota; Viridiplantae; Streptophyta; Magnoliopsida; Poales; Poaceae. The record is from RNAcentral.
AUGGCGUAUUAUUCAUUCAUGGCUGGUAAAUUUGCAAGCUUUUCAUAUGGGCAGUGGUACCAUAUAAUGCUUCCCUCCCUGGCUUUGUAUGCACACCCUACUCCAGGAUCUACAUCUUCUUCAGCGAUAUGCUCAGGUGAUGUUCAUGCUACGUGUGCACAAUUGAUUUGGGCAGAUUCUGCAGCUUCCAACUGUCCAUUCUUGUGCUCAGCCGUUGAUCAUCCCUCAAAUGGCUUUUGGACAGGUAAUUACUCUGUACAUUAUCCUUUCAUCUUUUGUUGUCAAUUUUACUACUACGCCGCAAAUCGCUUAAAUAAUAUGUUCCUCUGGUAUUCAUAUCAUGCUCCUGUAUGGAACAGGUGA